GUCUGCUGGGCAAAAGGGUUUUGAGUUUGAGAGCAAUAAAGACCAAACUCUACGUUAUGAAAACGUAUUCAGAGAGAAGAACUCGGGCGGUUUGGAUGAAGAUUAAAUGGCUUUUUAUGAGCUUCGCUCCACCGACAUGACGUCGGGCUUCCAGCGAGAUGCAUUAAUAUCGGUGCAAUUCAAGUUUUACGGAAACUCAACGUUGGUUCUUCACGGCUUGGAAAGAAGGAAAUAACGAGUAACUAGAACUAGCUUUACAUUUUAUACAUUUUCUUUUUUCUUUAGAAAAGUAUUGUGCAGAUUUAUGCCAAUGGGAAGAGUGGUUCAUGUGGAUGUCAAAAGACCCUGAUUCUGAGAAUCCAAACGAGGAGGAAAAGGAGACAUCUGAGAGGUCAGAGGCCGUUGAUCUCACAUCCUCUCUGGAGGCUGAAGACCAGACGACCCCCCCGGAGCCCCCCAAUGACUCUGAAAUGGUGACGGCCUCCGGAGACCCUGAAGUCUCCAUCGUCCUCAACAUCGAGGACACCGACCCGACCCAGCCACGAUCCAGCCAGCCGCCCCCCGAGGAAGACCUUUCCAAAACCCCCUCGAAGAAGAAGAAGAAAAAGAAGAGCAAAGAGGAGGCGGAGGCACCGAGCACCGACUCGUCCACCGUAGACGCACCCAGCGACGCUCCUCUCGCCGCCAAGACCGCCAAAAAGAUGAAGAGAGACAAACGGAGGGCCGAGGGGAAGCAGACGGAAGAAAAGGAGGAGGCAGAUCAGACGAUAGAGGAGGCGGAUGCCUCUUUGGCCACUUCACCGGAGGAGGAGAAGAAGAAGAAGAAGAAGGCUAAGAAAAGGAAGAUGGAGCAAGAGGUAGCGGAGGAGAAGGAAGAGGUCACGCCUUCAGAGAAGAAAAUCAAAAAGAAGAAGAAGAAGGUAACAGAAGAGAAGAGCGAGGCCGUAGAAGUGGAGUGCAGCUUGUCCUCGAGUCCAGCCAAGACAAAGAAGAAGAAACCGUCUAAGGAAACACCAGCAGGGGGCAACACAGACACAGACAAGGAUCAGGAGUCCACAGAUGCAAGCUCAUCGACUAAGAAUCGCCGUUUCAGGAAGAAACACAGCCUCGUGAAAAGACAAAAGGCGACCGCGGAGGAGACGCCCCAAGGUGACCCCGCCCAGAAGAGCGACGACACACCAAAGAAGAAGAAGAAGAUGAUUAAAAUGAACGGAGAGCAAGAAGAGAAUUCCUCAAAGGAAAACCAACCGCCGAAGAAGAAAAAGAAGAAGCAAACAGAGGAGGAGGAGGAAAAGGAGGAGAGCUCCGGACCUCCUGAGACGGCAUCGACUCCACUUCCAAAGGAAGGCAAGAAGAAGAAGAAGAUGAUGAUCAUGGCUGAAGAAGGCGAGGAGACGACUGACAGCCCCAUGCCCGUCACUUCUGCAAAGAAAAAGAAGAGGAACCGGUCGGAGGAGACGGAACCGGCUGCAGAGGAACAAACUCCUCCCGCUGCGAAGAAAAAGAAAACCCCCAAAAAGAUAAAAAUCGCCUCAGACGAUCUCUGAGCAAAUCUCGGAUUCCUCUGACCCGUCGCUGCUGGACCUGAAAACCCCGAAACAAGACAAUCUCCUUCAUGUUUGUGCCUUUACACCUGAAAUAAUAACUGUUCUCAUAAAAGUAUAUUCCUAAAGGACACAAUGUUUACGGUCCCGUUUCACUGUCGUCUCCUUUUUAAAGCUUCCUCUGCGUUUUUAUCUCGAAGCAGAGCUGCUGCGGUGGGAAGAAGAUGCAUUUCGAGCUUCCUCGUAUUGCCAAAGUCAUUUUUGAGGCCCGUACUGAUCAAUUUCAAUAUAAUACAUUUCUGGAUGCAUUUAGCGGUGACUUAUUUAGCGGCAUCCGUUUGCGGUUGCUAUGGAAACGUGGAGCAGCUUGGUAUUUGGGGCUGCAAAGACAUUUUCAAUCAAAGGUUAUUCAGGGUUGGAUGUUCCGCCCUUCAGGGAUUGCUGCUACGCUGCAGCAUUUAAUAAAACAAAUGCCAUCUGCAUCCCAUGCAAACUAAGCGGUGACGAACGGAAGCGCUGAAUAUCUUACUGUCGUUAAAGGUGUCCUCCGUUUAGGAUGUGCGUUAAGGGAAAAGCUGUGAAACAGACAAGGUCUUUGAAUCAUCUUCUGUUGGUUUAUAAAUGGAUAGUUCAUGUAUUUGUAGUGAAGAGGCGAAAAAGUAUGUUUCGUCUCGAGGGAGAAACUCGUGUUUUUACUUUUUUAGUAAGCUGUGAAAUGUUUGUUUUCACACUGUUUCCUUAAAACCAUUAACUAUGCAUCUGUUAAAGGCUCUGGGAUGAAAUACUUACUUAUCUGUUCUGAGAACUAACACGUGUGAGACAAUAAAAACUCCCAAACGCUUUAAUUGUCUUUUGCUUUACACUUGACAGAAGCUUCAUUCUUCGGAAGCAGGACACUGAAUUUUGUCACUUCACCUCGACAAGUCGUAAACACGGAGCUGCGUUUCUGCUGGACGGACGUCCACAAACGUCACACUUAAACUAUGCAUGUCAUCACAUUGUGAAAAUAGUUUUGAGGCUCAGGGACUAGAACUCAGAUUUAUGUACAAACUACAUCACGCAACUAUUUGUAACCCGUAAAACCUUUUCAUUAACUGCAGUAAUUCACUCAUUUAAUAUUGAUUCAUCAAGCUGAGCCAACGGCGUCUGUUUGCAAAACUUCUGUCCUCCGUUACGAACAAUUUUAACGCUUUAAAAUGUUUACUCUUCCUCAUG
Molecule: long non-coding RNA, 2759 nt
Organism: Gasterosteus aculeatus aculeatus (three-spined stickleback)
Lineage: Eukaryota; Metazoa; Chordata; Actinopteri; Perciformes; Gasterosteidae
Source: Ensembl